AGGACGAACGCUGGCGGCGUGCCUAACACAUGCAAGUCGAGCGGGGACAAUGACUUCGGUUGUUGUUCUAGCGGCGGACGGGUGAGUAACGCGUGAGCAACCUCUCUCUCAGUGGGGAAUAACACAGGGAAACUUGUACUAAUACCGCAUGGGACCACGACCCGGCAUCGGGUUGAGGUGAAAGAUUUAUCGCUGAGAGGUGGGCUCGCGUCUGAUUAGAUAGUUGGUGGGGUUAAACGGGCCCACCAAGGCGACGAUGCGUAGCCGAACUGAGAGGUUGAUCGGCCACAUUGGGACUGAGACACGGCCCAGACUCCUACGGGAGACAGCAGUUAGGAAUAUUCGUCAAUGGGGGAAACCCUGAACGAGCAAUGCCGCGUGAGUGAAGAAGUAUUUCGGUAUGUAAAGCUCUAUCAGCAGGAAAGAAAAUGACGGUACCUGACUAAGAAGCUCCGGCUAAAUACGUG
This 467-nucleotide ribosomal RNA is filed under the name uncultured bacterium. Its description in RNAcentral is "bacterial SSU rRNA". It matches the Rfam family "Bacterial small subunit ribosomal RNA", at positions 26 to 507 of the family's 1533-position model. The record is from RNAcentral.